This 1686-nucleotide long non-coding RNA is filed under the name Heterocephalus glaber (naked mole-rat). Its description in RNAcentral is "lncRNA (ENSHGLG00000032346.1)". Lineage: Eukaryota; Metazoa; Chordata; Mammalia; Rodentia; Bathyergidae. The record is from RNAcentral.
CGCCCCUCUUGCGCUGGAGCUGCCGCAGCGCCCCUGCCGGCGGAGCUGGCGCAGACCGAGGGACCCACCGCGCAGUGCUCAGAACCUGGGCUUUGGUUUUGACUGUUUACCCUUGAGCUGAAAUGCGGCAGUCAAGCUCCAUGUCUAUUGGUAGCGAGUGAUUCCUUGUUAAAGACAGGAGAAAGGAUUUCUCUAUGAUAAAUACAGGACUUACUGAAAAUUGAACUAGUCAAAGCCGGGUGUGGCAGUGCGCACCUGCAAUCCCACCACUCCAGGAGGCUGAGGCAGGAGGACCACAAGCGUGAAGCCCGGCUUUCAUUGGGAAACUUCGCGACUUACUGAGACCCGCUCUCGGAUUUCUUUAAAAAGGCAAAAGGGUGGGGGAUGUAGCUCAGUGCAAAGGGUCUGGGUUCAAACCCGCUACCAAAGCAAGAGACUUCAUCUUCCCAGGAAGAGGGAGACAAACUUCAUCUUGCAUCUCUGCCAAGUGUUAGGUCAUCUCGGUGCUCAGCGAGGCUGUGGCGCCGGAGUCGGGUUGCUGGGUCUCCCUGGAGAAUCUUCCGGGCCCGGGUCGGCGCAGGCUAACUGGGAAGCCAGCCCCGCGGCCCCGAGGCCACCACCACCCUGCUGUGGACACGGGACUGUUCAGCUCAGCGGAGUGGGAUCUCGCAGGAGCAUUCGGGAGCCAUGGGCGGGCUAACUGGAAGUACAGUGGACCCUUGACUUAGGGACGUGAUCAGUUCCGGAGGGCUGGUUGUAACUCAAGUUGGUGACAGAUCAUCAGACUAUAUCUGUCAAAGAUCUCAGUGAAUGUGGAAAGUGUCGUGAAAAUGAGAAGCCGUUCAAAACAAGCAGAACAGAAUAGGAGGAGACUGAGAUACAAACAAGUUGAGUGAUUCACUCCAAGUCCUCCAGUUAGUAGAGGGCAGAGUCAGAUGGUGAGCUCCGUGUGUGACUUUGGGCCUGUGACCCACAGAGGCUGAGCCAUGGGGGACUCGCUCCAUCACGCAGCAUGAAAGCCUGACGUGGUGAGAACCUGGUGAGGAGAACAUGCAGGAGGCACCACCAAGUGGCAGAGGCAGGCGGCUUGCAAGACACACGGCUUUCAUCCUGAGAACAACGGAACUACUGAAGGAACUUAGCGAAGAAGGGAUGGGCAGGGGUGACAGUGGGACUUAUCCAUGUGGCUUUUGGCUUAGAGACGCAGGACAGGUGGCAGCUCUGUCCUGAAAUGGGAGCAGGAGACGCAGACUAAGCUGCAAUUGGGAGUAGGCACUGAGGGGAGGGCCGAGGCUCAGGGGUUUGGAUUCAACUCCUCAGUGUAAAGUUGACAACCGGUGAGGUUGUACAGGAGACAGGGACACAGAGGAGCUCAGACUGUGAAAGGACAGGCAGAGAAAAGCCCUGGCCCGCCCCCAAAAUGGUCAGAGAGGUAGCUGGAAAAUCAGAAAUAGACGACAUAUUAAAACUUGUAGCAGGCUGGGGAUGUAGCCUGGUGGUAAAGCAUGCAUGAAGCCCUGGAUUACACACACACACACACACACACACACACACACAUAACUUGCUCACUGCUCCCACACAUGCUCAUUGCUUGGGUCCUGUUAUUAGAAAUAAGUUUACUUAUGACAAAAUGUGACUUGUUUAUAUAUGAAACAAGCAGCGAUUCCUCAUUUGGAUCACAGGGCU